UACGAAGGUCCCGAGCGUUAUUCGGAAUCACUGGGCGUAAAGAGUACGUAGGCGGUUAGGUAAGUCAGGUGUGAAAUCUGGGGGCUCAACCCCCAAACUGCAUCCGAUACUGCCAGACUGGAGUAAUGGAGGGGCAGGUGGAAUUCUUGGUGUAGCAGUGAAAUGCGUGGAUAUCAAGAGGAAGACCAAUGGCGAAGGCA
This 200-nucleotide ribosomal RNA is filed under the name uncultured bacterium. RNAcentral describes it as "partial 16S ribosomal RNA". It matches the Rfam family "Bacterial small subunit ribosomal RNA", at positions 524 to 723 of the family's 1533-position model. The record is from RNAcentral.